RNAcentral lists this long non-coding RNA (3597 nucleotides) under Nicotiana tabacum (common tobacco). RNAcentral's name for it is "long non-coding RNA (NTAB_LNC016554)". The record is from RNAcentral. Lineage: Eukaryota; Viridiplantae; Streptophyta; Magnoliopsida; Solanales; Solanaceae.
AAAAACCUACAAUAUAAAAAGACAAAAAGAGGGGAAGGCUAAAAAACAAAAAAGCAAGAGAAGCCAGCGCAGCAUACACGGACCCCCCUCAUCGGAUUCAUCUUCUCCUUCACUUGGAGGAAUGAAAACCGGAACCAGCCGCAACAAUGCAAAGAGGAGACCCCUCUCUGAAAUUCAUCUUCUUGGUCAUCCCCCCAAGCACGCAUGAACUUUGAAAAUUGCAGACCCUUACUCCAUCUCCACUAGUUUUUUUCAAGAGUUUUGUUUCAAGUUUUAGAUUUCUUCUUCGGGUUUCUGAUUUCAGAACGAUGGAAUUAAUCGAAGUUUGGAGCCAUUUCCGAGUUCGGAUCGUUGGAGGUUGCCGUUGAAGGUUUAAGUCUGAAAAUCUGAUUCGAUUUUUGACGAUUCUGUUUGAAGCCGCGUCGAUGUCCGACUGUAAUUGUUGCUUCAUGUACUGCGUAUAAACUUCAGGUUCAUCUUUGCAACGUUGGUUUAUCUCUUCCAGAUUUAAUCGGUUCAUGUGGAUGUUCAAUGUAGUCUUUGUUUCAGCAAGUUUGAAUGUGUAUGUGAUUAAGAAGAUGUUAGUAUUAAUUAGUCGCUUCAUUUCUUUCUCUGAUUUGCCUCUUACCUUGUGGUGUCAUUGUUGGGUGGAUUAGAUGCAUGUGAAAUUAGAACAAAUGUCCGAUUUCUCUUUUCUUACGGUGUUACUAGAUAUUGCUAUCAUUUUUUCCUCCUGUUAGUUCGGAAUUAAAGUGUUUGGGUGUUUAAUUGUUGGGGUGUUAAAAGGCUGUAACGCAUAGCUACAGAUCUGGAUAAUCGUAUUUCUCAUUUUCUUAAACUUUGUUUUGCUUUACAAUGUGCUUCCAUUAAUUUGUCGUUCUCUGUUUGGUGAUGUGCUUGGGUUGAAGUUUUAUUGUUUUGAUUUGAGGAUGGUUGACUUCUCAUUUCCUUCCAUUCUUAUUUGCUGAACCUCGCACCCUUAUGAUAAUAUGAUAUCUUUGUACUUUUGGGUGGUAGCAUCCAUACUUUUGGAGGAAAGAUUACUAGAAGAUGUCAUCAUUAUAAAGCCUAUAUGUAAGUUUUUUUAACAAGGUAAUGUAUGCAGUCUUAUAGAAAACUAGAGAUAUUAAUUUGUACAAGAGUAAAUGGAGAACAAUGAUAGGGUAAGGAGAGUGCGUAUAGGAUGGGAUGAGUUUUAUGAGAGGCAAGUUAGCAAGUUAAAAUAGUUUGUAAAAUCUCAAAUGAGAUGAAGCGAGUUGCGGGUUAAAUGUUUUAGAAUAUUGACCAAUUGUUUGAAUUCGAGUGCUCUGUUUGUUGAUGGUAUGGGUUACUACAUCACUAUUUUGUUUUGAAUGUCUUGAUAAUAUUCACUUUAUUAGUAAUUCUUGUUUGCAUGUUGCUUAGCAAAUAAUUUGUUCGGAUGGGGUUUCGCCACUUCGUUAAGAGACAAUUGCUUAAGGCUUCCCAGCACCAGAUUUGUGGGAGUUAACUUGCAAAACGUGAAGAAGUUGGACUUGGAUUCUAGAUGAGGUAAAGUAGAAUUGAGGUUAAGUUCGCGUUCUUGUCUUAAUAUAAAUAAAAAAUACCAUCGUGAUUGUGUAUACGUUCGCGUAACAUAAUUACGAUUCUAAAACCAAUUCGGAGUAUGCGUUCGCGCAACUCCAAACAAGCUUUCUUAAUAAUAAAUUGAGUAUCAUGGCUUUAUAUAUCCGGGGGUGAAUUUCAUGUGACCCGGCUCUAAUUACAAUAAGGUUAAAUAGAAUGUGUCGUGAACCGCGGGUGCAUUUCAUGUGGCAUAGCUUGCGAUAUGUUUUAAAUAACCUUGAAUUAACUUUUUAAAUAUUUAAAAGAGGUAAAGGGUAGAUGCACAUGGAUUCUAAAACGAGUAAUUGAACAAUUUAAUAAGCCAAGUAUGAUCAAAGUGACCGUGCUAGAACCACGGAACUCGGGAGUGCCUAACACCUUCUCCCGGGUUAACAGAAUUCCUUACCCGAAUUUCUGUGCUCGCAGGCCGUAAAUAGAGUCAACUUUCCUCGAUUCGGGAUUUUAUACCAGUGACUUGGGACACCAUAAAUUAUCCCAAGUGGCAACUCUGAAUCUUUAAAUAAAGAAAUCCCGUUUCGAUUGUCUUUUAAUUGGAAAAACUCCCUUGUAUUUAUACCCUCUAUGGGGUGUAAGUAAAAAUGAGGUGUGAUAGUUCUGGCGACUCUGCUGGGGAUCAAACCCAGAAUCUCUGGUUCAGGGUUCAAGAAUUCGAGUUUGUUAAUGAUUUUCACUUGGCUUCAUUUAUUGCUAAUAUUACUGUAUUUUGUGAAUUUUUUGUACUAAAUGUCAUUUGUUUACUUCUCUAUUAUUGUUUGAAUUGUAUAUUACUGUCUUCUUACGCCACCCCUCUAAGUCUUCUGGAAAUAGUGCAUACGUUCGCGUAGCCUGCUUUUUCUAUAGAAAUUAUACCAAACAGAAUGAGGCUGGGAAAGCAGCAAGGCCGGGUAGACUUCAGUGCUCCCGGUACGUCGCCCCCUCCUCGGCCCCAAUUGUCCGCUCAGGUACCCCAAGUCUAGACCAAAACCCCAGGAUUUAAACCUAGAAUAAUACAGCCUCAUGCCGGAUCCCCGGUAGGAACGUUUGUUUGCAUCAUGUGCAUUUGACUUAAGGGACUCAACAUAGGGGUUGGGUUCGUCUAGGACAGGUGUACCCAAAAUAACAGACCAUUUUAUGCAUCCUAUGUGCUACAUGUUGCAUUUAUUCAAGGGUAAAGGCUCAUUUGGCGGACCAAUGAUAACUGAGAGUAAAUGAAGAAGUGAAAAAAAGAAAAAAAGGGGGAAAAACAAUGAAAAAAGAAAGAAGAAAGAAAAACAAAUUGAAGGGAAGUGUGAAAAUAAUGCAAGUAGGAUCUAGUUAUGUUUUUUUGUUACAUUUGUAAGGAAAAAGACAAAAAAAAACAUGAAAAAUUCAAAAAAAGAUUUUGUACUUUUUCAUCAUUUUUUAAAAAUAAAAAAAAAAAAGAGAAAAAUAAAAUCCAAAGAGAUUUUGCAUGUUUCGUCAUUUUUCAAGAAAAAUCAAGAAAAAAUGUGAUUUCUAUGAAUUAAUGGGUUUUUUUAUUAUUCUCACCCGUAUCCAAUUUGCUCGAACUACGCGAACCUGAUUCUCGUCUCUCGGGGCGGGAUACGUAGGCAACCCACAUAGGGUUCGGUCUUCCUAGUAAAUCUUAAGUUCUUGGCUUUGCGGGGUCUUAGCCAAAUUUUGUACUUCUAGCCACCUUUUGGCCAAAUAAGUCAUUUUGCAAAAAUAGUUCCAAUUAUGAGUAUUAUUAUUUCACAUAGUGUUGGUUAAAGUUUUCUCAUACAUGUGUGGAUUUAUUUACAGAAGUUUGAGCAUGACAGACACUAUCCGGUCAGGAUCGCUCAGUCAGGAGUUGCUUAAGGAGAUUUGUUUUAUUUUUAUAUUUUGAGUCUGUUCUUCAUUUUAUGUCGUCUUUUACUUUCUAGUUUUGUACAGUAAUGUCAAGUCUUUUGUUAUUGUAUUUUCUGCUUUAUAUUUGAAAAAAUGUGUUGUAACUCAAAAUCCAAAAAAAGAGAUGUUGCAUUUAUAUUUCCG